GAGAAGUUUCACUCAGUCCUGGAGAAAACAUUUCAGUUGGUCUUUAUGUGAAAAAAGAAAAACAGGGUGAAAGGAAACCUCUGAGCAGAAAGUCAUCUCGCAGCAAAAUCCUUCCCAAGCAACUUAUUUUUUACAGUUCUAACCGAAUUCAUUUGGCAAAAGUGACAGAAAUUCACAGUAUUUCUGCUUUUUUUUCACCAGAAAGAGCACUGAGCCCCCCAGAAUCCACCCACACUGUUUCUGCUGCUGUGUUCAAAAAGCCACGGGGCUCUGGGCCCUUGCUGGCAGGAUGGGAGGGACAAGGAACAGCCCUGCAGGUUGGUGACAGAAGGUUUAGCAAAGGGCUCCUGGAAGCCUUCCCUCUGCCAUACUUCCACACGGCGAAUGUUCCCGUUACUACUUGCAAGCUGGUCGCAGAGCACAGCAAAUACCAGGUACAAUAAAGACCCAGACAGCAGAACGGAGUAUAAAUAGAUGAUGGAAUUCCUGGCAUCAGCUCUGGAGCAGUUUGGGACUGGAACGAGUGAAAAAUACAGUUUCUCUAAAAGGGAAAUUUCCUGCGAGUAAAAGCCAAAUGUUCCCCCUUGCUCCCCCUCCUUCUUUCCCCAGAUUCCAGUUUUUCACUGGGGAGAAUCCAAGUGUUUCAAGUGAGCUCAAGCAGAAUUUCGCUGUGUUGAACUGGCCUGAUUUGGGAUGCAAACCGACCUCUGAAAGGCUGAAAUUUCCCGUGGGAGCAGAAAUUCGGAAUUUUGCUCAGCUCCAGUUACUCUGUGCAUGGAAAUGGCUUCCAGCAAACAAACAGCGCAGACAGGAGAUGCACCCGGAAGGCUCACGGCCCUUAGGAAGCUCUGGAAAACCCAAGCUGGAUUUAACAUCAGUGAGAAAACCUGGAAUCAGAGCCGUGUCCCAAAACCCGGAGCUUCUGUGUUGGAUGUCUGCGCAUCUCAGCCUUAGAGACCUGAGCAGGGCUCUGGUUACGCCCCAUGGAGGGAGACUAUGGAGGCUCAAGUCCUGCGUAUGGGAUGGAUGACACCAUAGGGGACAUGUCAUCUCACGUGAGAUAAGUGGCCCAAUAUGCACAUAGUGUGUUUCUGCUUCAUUCUGCUGAAGACGAGCAUUUACACAGGCCGUUCUGAAAGUAAUGCCUCCUAUUUAUUUCCAAAGAAACAACAACAGAUACAAAGAGCACAAUAAUGCUGUUUGAUAGAGCAAAUUCUCAGCUACAAAACAUUAUUCUUCAACAUGGGCACCACCAUCCACUCUGUAUUUUUGAAAGUAAUGAACAAGAGCCUGUGUGCUGUGCUUGUACAGGCAUGCAUCAGUGGAGGUAACCCACUGUCACCAUCUGAAAUGCAGCACCAACUGUGCUCACUGUGCUCACAUCCACCAUUCGAUCUCCAUAAACACUCAGCAAAUGUUGGUGAAUGUCAAUGGAUGCCAUUUUUUCUGCAUGGAGGAUUUAAUUCCACCCCUUUGCUUCAUACAUGCUUCCAUGACAGACACCAUUUUGCCACGCUGUCCCUCAGCUGUUGUUUGUCACACGGCAACAAAACAUAAUGGGAUACUGGUGGGAAGGUUCAGCCUCUACUGCCAUCCAAUCAACAUCUGCUUCUGAUCAUAUAGCAGGAGGCAAUACUUUCAGAGCAGCCCUUGUAUAAUGGCUCUUUUUAGGUGACAUUUUCUUUUGGGUAAUGGAUACAAAAAGAGGAAAAGGGAGAGCAAACCAAUAGAAAAAUCAUAAUGUGAUUGCUUUUAAGUGGCUUUUUUUGACCCGUUGUUUCGAAAAGGUGCCGCAAAUCAGUCAAAGUUUCCUCUUCCCAUCUGCGAAGGUGCUGUUCUAAAUUCAACCUCACACGAAAAUUCAAGCCGCCUCGUCCUCACUGGGGCUUUAAAUCAAAUUAGUUAACUGAAUUAGGAAUGCUUUUUGCUUUUAUACGUUUGGUUGAGACUGAUGAGCCCAGAGCCGUGAAGGAGCUCAGUCUGACUGCAGCUGCUGCCGGACCUGCAUGCAGUGAUCCUCGUGCCCAGAGCUUCCCCGAGCCUGCCCCGUAUUUUCUGCACCAAUGACAAAUACCUGGUGUCAUUGAUAUUCCAUUAGUUUCCUUCACUGAAAGAUCGGACAGCUUUAAAAAGCCAAUAAAUUCCCACACGUUGUCUCUAAGAAAAGGAUAAAGGAUUCCUUGGCGGGCCACACACCAUUAAGCCCCAGAAGCGAGUGGUGUUUUAUGGUUUGCGGAGCUGAGGUCACUGCUUUGGGAUGGAUGCAAUUAAGGCUCACAGAAGCUACCAAAGCCUGCUGCUUCUUCAAGUGCUCUCAAAAAGACACCUUGCUUAGAGGAGUGCUGGUGCAGUUCCCCUUAUUCUGGUCCUGGGAGCAUACCCCAGCAUAUCCCAGUCCUGGGAGCAACCUUGCACCCUCUGACAGGGUGCUGAGGCAUUGGAACAGGCUGGCAGAGAGCUGUGGGUGCCCCAUCCCUAAAGGUGCUUAAGGCUGGGUUGGAUGGGGCCCUGAGCAGCCUGAUCCCAUGGGAGAUGUCCCUGCCUACUGCAGGGAUUGGAACUGGGUGGGUGCUGAGGUCCCUUCCAACCCAAACCAUUCUAUGCAAAGCAGCAUGGAUCCCACCUGAGAAAGCCUCGUGAAGAUCCAGGGAUUGAAUGCAUUUGAAGCCACAGCAUCCACUUGCUCUGUAGACUAGAGGACAUAGGUGUUCACCCACUAUUUCAAAGUGUUUUUUGGGGUGCUGCUUAUCUUCUACCAUGGGCAACGUGCCUACCUUGUGCUCUCCACACCUCAAAAGACGUCACAGAAUCAUUAAGGUUGGAAAAGACUGCUAAGAUCAUCUUGUCCAACCAUCAGCCCAGUGCCUCCAUGCCCACUGACCACGUCCCUCAGUGCCGUAUGCCAUAUCUCAAGCCGCAUGGCCUUCUCUUUGAAUACUCAGACAUUCAAUAUUCGUGAUGUGAAAUUACGGGAGCUUCCUCAUUUCCCACUGUGCUCAGGAACUCUGGAUGCUGUCCCUUUUCAGGUGCCAUUUCCUGAUGUUUUUCCACCCACCUCUCUGUCACUGUGAUUUCCCCAGGGCUUUCUGUAGAUAUAAUCCUUCAGUGAGUGCCUUGUUCCUCCUGUUCUGUUUAAGGCUGAAAAAUUGUUACUUGUGCCCAAAUUCCAGCCCCUUGCACCCAGAUUUUGGGUUCCAGGAAGGCACAGGAUUCUUUUCUAUUGCUUGGUACACGUAAAGCAGAACCUUUUAGUGAAAUACAAGAAUAAAUGAAUAUGUAGAUGUAUCUUUUUUUUUUUUUUUCUGAAGGUCUCGAGCACAAAUGCUUGCUCUGAUGAGUGACUCAUUCCCUUUGUCAGAGAAGCAUUGUUGGGUGUUUUCAGGCUAUGAGCAAGGCAAGGUUUGGAGGAGGAGUUACCCUCUUUUAUUAGACUGGAUGAUACGGUUGGAAAGAAUCAAGCAAGAUUGCAGGCAUGUGAUCCUUUCCUUCAGGUGCAGAGCAGCUUUUGCUGCCUUCAAGCUGACUGCAAGAACAGCCAUUGCACUGCUGGGCAUAAUGGAGCUAAAGUCAGAGCUGGUGUCCUCAGCCUGGACCUGGAAAAAGAGCCCUCAAGCUCCCCUGAUCACAGCAGCAUCACCUUAAAUUCAACCUCAUAUUAAAAAUCCUUAUCACUUAAUCUAUUAAUUUAUAGCAGCUCCUAUGAAUGUAUUUGCCCACAUGUCCAUGUGGCUUCCAGUUGCUCCUUUAUACCUGACAAAUAGGAGCAAUUAAAACCUGGAGGUGAUCAACUGCAUUUCCACUUGAGGUGAUCAACCUCCUUCCUCUUGACACUGGGACAAAAUCUCAACAUUCAGGUAAUUCCAGUCCCACACAACAAGUGCAUGGGAGGAACAGGAGGGAGGGAGGAGGUGCUUGAUGUAAGUUAAAACCUCUGUCCAAAUUAAUGGGGGAAAAAAAUCAAUGCAUCAGAAUCAACGGGGCGUGUAGAUCCCUACAGAAGGUAAUGCAAUGGGUUUGCACGUCCCUGUAGAAACAUGUGCAGCUCCACCAAGGCAAUGACAGCUCUGGGCUGGGGCACAUACAAGGUGCUGCCUGGGCUGGAUUUGGGGGAAAAUAUCCAAGCAAACCCCAGAUUUCCUAAGUUUUUGUGUGGCACAUGUACUUAUCAGUGACAUUCCUACCCUUGAUCAAGGCUAGCACUGCGUACUCCCAGCACUGUCUGUUUCAGCCUCUCCAGAUGCAGGAAAUCUUCCCUCCCCUCUCCCACUGAGUCUGACUCAGAAAUUGUUUGAAAAUCCCAGUUUUCUGACAUCUCCUGGCUGUUCCCCUCUGGGUAAUGGGAAGCUGAAGGCAAAGCAAACAAAGGAGUCCUUAUGCUCGGGAGAGCUGGCGGAUGGCAGUGGCACCUCCUCCUCUCCUCCUGCUGCUGUGGUGGGGAUCCGGCCUCAUUGUCUGAACAGCUCCAGGCAUGGUGAGCGCUCUGCUAAUGUGACUUUUGCAUCCCAGAGAGAGCUGUGGCCGACAGGGAGCCCCUGGUAUUAAUUAUCUGGGUCGCAGGAUGCACAGGGAAGAUGGCAGUGAUUUGUUUCCCUAUUCCAUUGAAAAGGCAGCAAUGGUCCCAGGCAGCUCAAGCCUGACACACUCAUCAUGCUCAACUAGGUGCAAUUGCCUCUCUGGGGAUAGGAAAGGAAGGGGUCAAUUCCUUUCCUGGUGGUGUUGAGGAGCUGGCACAGGCUGCAUAGAGAAGCUGUGGAUGCUCCAUCCCUGGAGUUGCUCAAGGCCAGGUUGGAUAGGCUUUGGGCAACCUGGUCUGGUGGGAGGUGUCCCUGCCCAUGGCCAUUUCCUCAAACUGAAGCCAUUCUAUGACUCCAUGAUUCCAUGACACAGCAGGGCAGAGCUACCUGGCUGCUGAACACUGCCCUGCAGACUGCAGUCCAGACAUUAUCCAGCUGGAGUAGGCCAUGUCAGCACCCAGCUGUGACAGCUGAGCUUCACA
This 4996-nucleotide long non-coding RNA is filed under the name Gallus gallus (chicken). Its description in RNAcentral is "lncRNA (ENSGALG00010027601.1)". The record is from RNAcentral. Lineage: Eukaryota; Metazoa; Chordata; Aves; Galliformes; Phasianidae.